Molecule: ribosomal RNA, 492 nt
Filed under: uncultured bacterium
Lineage: Bacteria
Description: partial 16S ribosomal RNA
Rfam family: Bacterial small subunit ribosomal RNA
Source: RNAcentral
AUUGAACGCUGGCGGCAUGCUUUACACAUGCAAGUCGAACGGUAACAGGCCUUCGGGUGCUGACGAGUGGCGGACGGGUGCGUAAUGCAUCGGAACGUGCCCCGAGGUGGGGGAUAACGCAGCGCAAGCUGUGCUAAUACCGCAUGUGAUCUGAGGUUGAAAGCGGGGGACCACGCAGCAAUGUUUGGCCUCGCGCGUCUGGAGCGGCCGAUGUCAGAUUAGGUAGUUGGUUGGGUAAAGGCCUACCAAGCCGACGAUCCGUAGCUGGUCUGAGAGGACGAUCAGCCACACUGGGACUGAGACACGGCCCAGACUCCUACGGGAGGCAGCAGUGGGGAAUUUUGGACAAUGGGCGCAAGCCUGAUCCAGCAAUGCCGCGUGAGGGAAGAAGGUCUUCGGGUUGUAAACCGCUUUUGUACGGAACGAAAAGGCUCUGGCUAAUACCUGGGGCUGAUGACGGUACCGUAAGAAUAAGCACCGGCUAACUACGUG